UGAGGAACAUGACCUUCGGCGGGGGAGUAAGCCGGCCUAACGGCCGAGUAAUACCGCAUACGCUCUCGAUGAGGCAUUUCAUUGAGAGGAAACCUACGGGACAUUUCGAGGGGCUCGCGGCCUAUCAGCUAGUUGGCGAGGUAACGGCUCACCAAGGCAACGACGGGUAGCUGGUCUGAGAGGAUGGCCAGCCACAUUGGGACUGAGAUACGGCCCAGACUCCUACGGGAGC
RNAcentral lists this ribosomal RNA (232 nucleotides) under uncultured bacterium. RNAcentral's name for it is "partial 16S ribosomal RNA". It matches the Rfam family "Bacterial small subunit ribosomal RNA", at positions 118 to 347 of the family's 1533-position model. The record is from RNAcentral.